CGUACACUCCUGCGGGAGGCAGCAGUGGGGAAUCUUGCGCAAUGGGCGAAAGCCUGACGCAGCCAUGCCGCGUGAAUGAUGAAGGUCUUAGGAUUGUAAAAUUCUUUCACCGGGGACGAUAAUGACGGUACCCGGAGAAGAAGCCCCGGCUAACUUCGUGCCAGCAGCCGCGGUAAUACGAAGGGGGCUAGCGUUGCUCGGAAUUACUGGGCGUAAAGGGAGCGUAGGCGGACAUUUAAGUCAGGGGUGAAAUCCCGGGGCUCAACCUCGGAAUUGCCUUUGAUACUGGGUGUCUUGAGUAUGAGAGAGGUGUGUGGAACUCCGAGUGUAGAGGUGAAAUUCGUAGAUAUUCGGAAGAACACCAGUGGCGAAGGCGACACACUGGCUCAUUACUGACGCUGAGGCUCGAAAGCGUGGGGAGCAAACAGGAUUAGAAACCCUUGUAGUCCCA
Molecule: ribosomal RNA, 451 nt
Filed under: uncultured organism
Description: partial 16S ribosomal RNA
Rfam family: Bacterial small subunit ribosomal RNA
Source: RNAcentral